Molecule: ribosomal RNA, 89 nt
Filed under: Aureococcus anophagefferens
Lineage: Eukaryota; Pelagophyceae; Pelagomonadales; Pelagomonadaceae
Description: partial Bacterial large subunit ribosomal RNA
Source: RNAcentral
GUUCCAGGGUUUCUGCGUUCAGUCAAUCUACGCAGAGUGAAUCGGUCCCUAAGGAACCCCCGAAAGGGCUUUCGUCCGAUGGGUACACG